CUCUUAGAUGCUCUGGGCCGCACGCGCGCUACACUGGUCGAUGCAACGAGUUUCUUUCCUUGGCCGACAGGCCUGGGCAAUCUUUGAACAUCGAUCGUGAUCGGGAUAGAUUCUUGUAAUUUUUGAUCUUAAACGAGGAAUUCCUAGUAAACGCAAGUCAUCAGCUUGCAUUGAUUACGUCCCUGCCCUUUGUACACACCGCCCGUCGCACCUACCGAUUGAAUGGUCCGGUGAAAUCUCCGGACUGGCGUGAGUCGGAGCAAUCUGACAAACACCGGAAAGUUGAUUAAACCUUACCAUUUAGAGGAAGGUGAAGUCGUAACA
Molecule: ribosomal RNA, 324 nt
Filed under: uncultured eukaryote
Lineage: Eukaryota
Description: partial 18S ribosomal RNA
Rfam family: Eukaryotic small subunit ribosomal RNA
Source: RNAcentral